Molecule: ribosomal RNA, 468 nt
Filed under: uncultured bacterium
Lineage: Bacteria
Description: partial 16S ribosomal RNA
Rfam family: Bacterial small subunit ribosomal RNA
Source: RNAcentral
GACGAACGCUGGCGGCGUGCUUAACACAUGCAGGUCGAACGGAAAGGCCCUGCUUUUGUGGGGUGCUCGAGUGGCGAACGGGUGAGUAACACGUGAGUAACCUGCCCUUGACUUUGGGAUAACUUCAGGAAACUGGGGCUAAUACCGGAUAGGAGCUCCUGCUGCAUGGUGGGGGUUGGAAAGUUUCGGCGGUUGGGGAUGGACUCGCGGCUUAUCAGCUUGUUGGUGGGGUAGUGGCUUACCAAGGCUUUGACGGGUAGCCGGCCUGAGAGGGUGACCGGCCACAUUGGGACUGAGAUACGGCCCAGGCUCCUACGGGAGGCAGCAGUGGGGAAUAUUGCACAAUGGGCGGAAGCCUGAUGCAGCAACGCCGCGUGCGGGAUGACGGCCUUCGGGUUGUAAACCGCUUUCGCCUGUGACGAAGCGUGAGUGACGGUAAUGGGUAAAGAAGCACCGGCUAACUACGUG